RNAcentral lists this ribosomal RNA (254 nucleotides) under uncultured bacterium. Its description in RNAcentral is "partial 16S ribosomal RNA". It matches the Rfam family "Bacterial small subunit ribosomal RNA", at positions 524 to 776 of the family's 1533-position model. The record is from RNAcentral.
UACGAAGGGGGCUAGCGUUGUUCGGAAUUACUGGGCGUAAAGGGCGCGUAGGCGGUCCUUCAAGUCAGGCGUGAAAGCCCCGGGCUCAACCUGGGAACCGCGCUUGAGACUGGCGGGCUAGAGUUCGGGAGAGGAUGGUGGAAUUCCCAGUGUAGAGGUGAAAUUCGUAGAUAUUGGGAAGAACACCGAUGGCGAAGGCAGCCAUCUGGACCGACACUGACGCUGAGGCGCGAAAGCGUGGGGAGCAAAACAGG